RNAcentral lists this ribosomal RNA (484 nucleotides) under uncultured bacterium. RNAcentral's name for it is "partial 16S ribosomal RNA". It matches the Rfam family "Bacterial small subunit ribosomal RNA", at positions 30 to 507 of the family's 1533-position model. The record is from RNAcentral.
AUUGAACGCUGGCGGCAGGCCUAACACAUGCAAGUCGAGCGGAUGAAGGGAGCUUGCUCCUGGAUUCAGCGGCGGACGGGUGAGUAAUGCCUAUGAAUCUGCCUGUUAGUGUUGUAUAACGUCCGGAAACGGGCGCUAAUACCGCAUACGUCCUUAGGGAGUAAGUGUGGGAUCUUCGGACCUCACGCUAUCAGAUGAGCCUAGGUCGGAUUAGCUAGUUGGUUGGGUAAAGGCCUACCAAGGCGACGAUCCGUAACUGGUCUGAGAGGAUGAUCAGUCACACUGGAACUGAGACACGGCCCAGACUCCUACGGGAGGCAGCAGUGGGGAAUAUUGGACAAUGGGCGAAAGCCUGAUCCAGCCAUGCCGCGUGUGUGAAGAAGGUCUUCGGAUUGUAAAGCACUUUAAGUUGGGAGGAAGGGCAGUAAGUUAAUACCUUGCUGUUUUGACGUUACCAAAAGAAUAAGCACCGGCUAACUUCGUG